AGAUACGACCAUACUAGCACUAAUCCACUGAUCCCAUCAGAACUCCGGAGAUAAGCGUGCUUGGACGAGAGUAGUACUAGAGUGGGUGAAUUCUUGAGAAGUCCUCGUAUUGCGACUU
This 118-nucleotide ribosomal RNA is filed under the name Cicer arietinum (chickpea). The record is from RNAcentral. Lineage: Eukaryota; Viridiplantae; Streptophyta; Magnoliopsida; Fabales; Fabaceae.